UAUACGCAUGGUAACACAUGAUAAAUGUAUUGUGUAUUUUGAGUUUUGAAGUAUUGGGUGAUGCACACUUUUCAGGGCUCAAAGGAUCAUUUAGGGCACUAACCUGUACUGUACCUGAACUGUUGUUGUAUCUGACAGUGAUACUGAAAACAUGCCAGUGAUGCAAACAAUUUUAACCUUGCCACCAACAAGGCUGGCAGUGUUGUAGGGUUCAAACAUUCAUGUUCCCUUCAGGGUGAAUUGUAAUCACCAACUGAUUCACUAAAGUGAACCAUUGUUUGUUAAUUUAGCGCCACCAUUGGGUCAAAUAUUUAAUUUGUCCUAAACUUUUGUCUCAUUCAUACUUCGGGUUUAGCACAACAAGCAAAUGUUAGCAUGCUAACUUGCUCAACUAAGAUGGUGAACAUUAUAUCUGUUACAUUCCAGUGUGAACAUGCAAUGUUAGCAUUUAGCACAAAACCUGAGUACAGCCUCACAACACUGCCUCACAACACUGCUAGCAUGGCUAUAGAUUCUUCUCUCUGUCUUGUGUUCAGUGCAAUGUUCAACAAUGUUUGUUUGUUUGUUUUUUUUUUUUUUUUUUUUUUUUUUUUUUUUUUUUUUUGCUUCACAAAAAUUAUUCCUCCCUGUCAAAGAAAGUUUUAUUUUAUGAACUGAUAUUAGACAUUGCAACAUUUGGUUUUUGCACAACUUGGUUUUUGAAUCAGCUUACUCCUAUCAAACCAAACAAUCCUAUUGGUUUCCUCCUUUUUCUGCAAACCCUCCUUUCAUAAUGUCUCACUCACAUUUUGUUUUGACAGGAAAUACUUGACAUUAAGGAAGCAAGAUGCUCUCAAACGCUCUUAGCUUCAUUGGCAGUUGAGGCCUGUCUUCCUCUUUCUCACUCUUGUUUUCUGUAUCUUCAGUCUGUUGUAAUCUGCCUUUCUUCUUCAUGCUAGUUUCUCCUUUAUUUUUUGUAACCAAAAAUGACUUUACAGCAAAAAAAAGAAAGAAAAGAAAAGAACCAUUGUAUGUGGAAAUAAAAAGAAGUCUGCCAUCUAGACUUUUCCUGUCAUGUGACCUCUCAUCCAAUGACACUAACAGCGGCUGUGGAAAGACCCUUCAUGGUGUUACAGCAGUCUGCACAGAAAGAAAAUGAAAAGACCGCAUCAAUCAAAGCUCAGCUUUCAGAAGGAAGAGAUACAGGACAAGAUGAGGAGAGAAAAAGUGAUGGAGAUGGGAGAGAGAGAGCAGGUACUGUCCACACAAACCUACCUGAUCAGAUUCAAACGUAUGUUACUAUAUUAAGCACGUUUUGCUUAGGCUUAUGUGGAAUUUGAGAUACAUCUCUUUUCUAAAAAACAAAAUUAUUUAUUGCAUCAACAAACAGAGUUAUCCCACAAAAAUUAGCAGUCUAGUGAUUUGCAUAAACAGGGUGGCUUGGGAUGGACUCAAAUUAUUAGUCUGAAUUAUUGCUUAAGUCUGCCCCUGUUGCUUACAGACCAUGUAAGGUCAAUGGGUUCAUCUUUACAUGGUGGAAAGAGAUUGUCCCUGCCCACUGAGUGGCUUCGAAAUGCUGUCAUCAAAUGACAGAGCUUGGUGCUCAUCACAAAAAAAAAAGAGGCCGUCCUUAUCUUGACCCCGCUGCUUUGGCCUGUUGGCGACAUCAUGCCAGUUUUAUGGUUAACUUCAACAACACAUGGA
This is a long non-coding RNA of Lates calcarifer (barramundi perch), 1683 nucleotides long. RefSeq lists it as uncharacterized. The record is from RefSeq and is a predicted model, not a curated record. The transcript is spliced from 3 exons. NCBI's taxonomy places the organism in Eukaryota, Metazoa, Chordata, Actinopteri, Centropomidae.